UACGUAGGGGGCAAGCGUUGUCCGGAAUCAUUGGGCGUAAAGCGCGUGUAGGCGGUUCGGUAAGUCUGCUGUGAAAGUCCAGGGCUCAACCCUGGGAUGCCGGUGGAUACUGUCGGGCUGGAGUGCGGAAGAGGCGAGUGGAAUUCCCGGUGUAGCGGUGAAAUGCGCAGAUAUCGGGAGGAACACCAAUUGCGAAGGCAGCUCGCUGGGACGUAACUGACGCUGAGACGCGAAAGCGUGGGGAGCAAACAGG
RNAcentral lists this ribosomal RNA (253 nucleotides) under uncultured bacterium. RNAcentral describes it as "partial 16S ribosomal RNA". It matches the Rfam family "Bacterial small subunit ribosomal RNA", at positions 524 to 776 of the family's 1533-position model. The record is from RNAcentral.